Molecule: ribosomal RNA, 500 nt
Filed under: uncultured bacterium
Lineage: Bacteria
Description: bacterial SSU rRNA
Rfam family: Bacterial small subunit ribosomal RNA
Source: RNAcentral
AUUGAACGCUGGCGGCAUGCCUUACACAUGCAAGUCGAACGGUAACGCGGGGCAACCUGGCGACGAGUGGCGAACGGGUGAGUAAUAUAUCGGAACGUGCCCAGUAGUGGGGGAUAGCCCGGCGAAAGCCGGAUUAAUACCGCAUACGACCUAAGGGUGAAAGCGGGGGAUCGCAAGACCUCGCGCUAUUGGAGCGGCCGAUAUCAGAUUAGGUAGUUGGUGGGGUAAAGGCCUACCAAGCCGACGAUCUGUAGCUGGUCUGAGAGGACGACCAGCCACACUGGGACUGAGACACGGCCCAGACUCCUACGGGAGGCAGCAGUGGGGAAUUUUGGACAAUGGGCGAAAGCCUGAUCCAGCCAUUCCGCGUGCAGGAUGAAGGCCCUCGGGUUGUAAACUGCUUUUGUACGGAACGAAACGGCCUUUUCUAAUACAGAGGGCUAAUGACGGUACCGUAAGAAUAAGCACCGGCUAACUACGUGCCAGCAGCCGCGGUAAUG